Molecule: transfer RNA, 359 nt
Filed under: uncultured Microcystis sp.
Lineage: Bacteria; Bacillati; Cyanobacteriota; Cyanophyceae; Chroococcales; Microcystaceae
Description: partial 16S-23S ribosomal RNA intergenic spacer
Rfam family: tRNA (bases 134-207)
Source: RNAcentral
AAAGGGAGACCUAAUUCAGGUAUAAGACGAAAAAAAAGUAGUCCCUACCAAGAAUCAAUCCCAAAAGGUCGGAACGAGGUAUGAGGCUUUCAAACUAGGUUCUGGGUUCAAACAAGACCUGAAUCAGGAACAAGGGCUAUUAGCUCAGGUGGUUAGAGCGCACCCCUGAUAAGGGUGAGGUCCCUGGUUCGAGUCCAGGAUGGCCCACCUGCACAGGUGGCAAAAACAAGAGAAGCGAGGAAUCAGCACCUUAUCUUACUUAUAUAGUAAGAGAGAAUGCUGGCUCUGAGUAAAGAGUCCAGAGGAACCUUGAAAACUGCAUAGAGCUAGGUGAAAAAGCCAAAAAAGAAGACCGCAAG